CGGGGGCCCGCACAAGCGGUGGAGCAUGUGGUUUAAUUCGAUGCAACGCGAAGAACCUUACCUACUCUUGACAUCCUGCGAAGCUAGCUGAGAGGCUGGUGUGCCGAAAGGAGCGCAGAGACAGGUGCUGCAUGGCUGUCGUCAGCUCGUGUUGUGAGAUGUUGGGUUAAGUCCCGUAACGAGCGCAACCCUCGUCCUAUGUUGCCAGCGGGUAAUGCCGGGGACUCGUGGGAGACCGCCGGGGUAACUCGGAGGAAGGUGGGGAUGACGUCAAGUCAGCAUGGCGGUUACGCCUGGGGCUACACACAUGCUACAAUGGGCGCAACAAAGGGCAGCAAGACCGCGAGGUGGAGCUAAUCCCAAAAAUACGCCCUCAGUUCAGAUUGCAGUCUGCAACUCGACUGCAUGAAGUUGGAAUCGCUAGUAAACGCAGGUCAGCUAUACUGCGUUGAAUACGUUCCCGGGGUUUGUACACACUGCCCGUCAAGUGAUCCGAAUUGUCUUCACCCGAAGUCCGUGGCCUAACCGUAAGGAAGGAGCGGCCGAAGGUGAGGGGGGUAAGGAGCACUAAGUCGUAACAAGGUAACC
This 588-nucleotide ribosomal RNA is filed under the name uncultured bacterium. RNAcentral's name for it is "bacterial SSU rRNA". It matches the Rfam family "Bacterial small subunit ribosomal RNA", at positions 914 to 1501 of the family's 1533-position model. The record is from RNAcentral.